This 131-nucleotide small nuclear RNA is filed under the name Tuber melanosporum Mel28. RNAcentral describes it as "U1 spliceosomal RNA". The record is from RNAcentral. Lineage: Eukaryota; Fungi; Ascomycota; Pezizomycetes; Pezizales; Tuberaceae.
AUACUUACCUUGCAGCAGAGUCCUCCGCUCAUCGAUGGCGGAUUCUCGCGGUCUCCCACCUUCACUGCACAUCGAAGGUUGGUACUACGCCAGCUGUCUUCGGGCACCUGGGCUGCUCAAUUUUUGAUUUC